CUCUGAGCCACGCGAGUUUAUUUAAUCCAGCACUUAUUCCCCUGUCAUAUUUUCUCAAGCCAAAGAUGAACCGACAGCACGAGUUCUGUACCUUCUGAUGCAAUCUAUAACUUGCAACAGAAUCAAGACAAGGAUAAAAAAUUGUCAAUCCAUAGUUCAAUUUGGACAAUACUACUGACUCGCAGAGAUACUUACUCGGGGAAAAGUCCAAAAAAUUGUGCAAGAAAGGAUUUUUUUUCAACAGCAAUGAGACAUACUCCCUAAAUCUCAGCUGACAAUCAUAUAUGAUGCCAAGGUUCCUGCAACAAGUAGAAUAUGGGACUUGCUCACCAACCAUAUUUACUUCAACCGUAACAGAAAGCUUUCUGGGGAAGAAAGCCCGAGAAACGAGAGAGGGAUGAAACGAUAGACGAACCUAGUUGUCAUCACAAAAA
Long non-coding RNA from Harmonia axyridis, 434 nucleotides. RefSeq lists it as uncharacterized. The transcript has 2 exons. The record is from RefSeq and is a predicted model, not a curated record. NCBI's taxonomy places the organism in Eukaryota, Metazoa, Arthropoda, Insecta, Coleoptera, Coccinellidae.